CCUACGGGAGGCAGCAGUGAGGAAUAUUGGUCAAUGGGCGAGAGCCUGAACCAGCCAAGUCGCGUGAAGGAUGACGGCCCUACGGGUUGUAAACUUCUUUUGUCAGGGAGCAAUUGAGUCCACGUGUGGUCUUAGCGAGAGUACCUGAAGAAAAAGCAUCGGCAAACUCCGUGCCAGCAGCCGCGGUAAUACGGAGGAUUGGGGCGUUAUCCGGAUUAAUUGGGUUAAAUGGGUGCGUAGGCGGAAUAUCAAGUCAGCGGUAAAAAUUCGGGGCUCAACCCCGUCGUGCCGUUGAAACUGAGGUUCUUGAGUGGGCGAGAAGUAUGCGGAAUGCGUGGUGUAGCGGUGAAAUGCAUAGAUAUCACGUAGAACUCCGAUUGCGAAGGCAGCAUACCGGCGCCCAACUGACGCUGAAGCACGAAAGCGUGGGUAUCGAACAGGAUUAGAUACCCGUGUAGUC
RNAcentral lists this ribosomal RNA (460 nucleotides) under uncultured bacterium. RNAcentral's name for it is "partial 16S ribosomal RNA". It matches the Rfam family "Bacterial small subunit ribosomal RNA", at positions 338 to 795 of the family's 1533-position model. The record is from RNAcentral.